UAGUAGCGGCGAGCGAAGCGGGAAGAGCUCAAAUUUAUAAUCUGGCACCUUCGGUGUCCGAGUUGUAAUCUCUAGAAAUGUUUUCCGCGUUGGACCGCACACAAGUCUGUUGGAAUACAGCGGCAUAGUGGUGAGACCCCCGUAUAUGGUGCGGACGCCCAGCGCUUUGUGAUACAUUUUCGAAGAGUCGAGUUGUUUGGGAAUGCAGCUCAAAUUGGGUGGUAAAUUCCAUCUAAAGCUAAAUAUUGGCGAGAGACCGAUAGCGAACAAGUACCGUGAGGGAAAGAUGAAAAGCACUUUGGAAAGAGAGUUAACAGUACGUGAAAUUGUUGGAAGGGAAACGCUUGAAGUCAGACUUGCUUGCCGAGCAAUCGGUUUGCAGGCCAGCAUCAGUUUUCCGGGAUGGAUAAUGGUAGAGAGAAGGUAGCAGUUUCGGCUGUGUUAUAGCUCUCUGCUGGAUACAUCUUGGGGGACUGAGGAACGCAGUGUGCCUUUGGCGGGGGUUUCGACCUCUUCACACUUAGGAUGCUGGUGGAAUGGCUUUAAACGA
Molecule: ribosomal RNA, 550 nt
Filed under: Rhodotorula mucilaginosa
Lineage: Eukaryota; Fungi; Basidiomycota; Microbotryomycetes; Sporidiobolales; Sporidiobolaceae
Description: partial large subunit ribosomal RNA
Rfam family: Eukaryotic large subunit ribosomal RNA
Source: RNAcentral